This 422-nucleotide ribosomal RNA is filed under the name uncultured Lachnospiraceae bacterium. Its description in RNAcentral is "bacterial SSU rRNA". It matches the Rfam family "Bacterial small subunit ribosomal RNA", at positions 355 to 794 of the family's 1533-position model. The record is from RNAcentral. Lineage: Bacteria; Bacillati; Bacillota; Clostridia; Lachnospirales; Lachnospiraceae.
UGGGGAAUAUUGCACAAUGGAGGAAACUCUGAUGCAGCGACGCCGCGUGAGUGAAGAAGUAUCUCGGUAUGUAAAACUCUAUCAGCAGGGAAGAUAAUGACGGUACCUGACUAAGAAGCACCGGCUAAAUACGUGCCAGCAGCCGCGGUAAUACGUAUGGUGCAAGCGUUAUCCGGAUUUACUGGGUGUAAAGGGUGCGUAGGUGGUAUGGCAAGUCAGAUGUGAAAGCACGGGGCUCAACCCCGUGACUGCAUUUGAAACUGUCAAACUAGAGUGCAGGAGAGGAAAGUGGAAUUCCUAGUGUAGCGGUGAAAUGCGUAGAUAUUAGGAAGAACACCAGUGGCGAAGGCGGCUUUCUGGACUGUAACUGACACUGAGGCACGAAAGCGUGGGGAGCAAACAGGAUUAGAUACCCUGGUAGU